UGGGGAAUAUUGGACAAUGGGCGAAAGCCUGAUCCAGCCAUGCCGCGUGUGUGAAGAAGGUCUUAUGGUUGUAAAGCACUUUAAGCGAGGAGGAGGGUACUGGUAUUAAUACUACCAGCUACUGGACGUUACUCGCAGAAUAAGCACCGGCUAACUCUGUGCCAGCAGCCGCGGUAAUACAGAGGGUGCGAGCGUUAAUCGGAUUUACUGGGCGUAAAGCGUGCGUAGGCGGCUAAUUGAGUCGGAUGUGAAAUCCCUGAGCUUAACUUAGGAAUUGCAUUCGAUACUGGUCAGCUAGAGUAUGGGAGAGGAUGGUAGAAUUCCAGGUGUAGCGGUGAAAUGCGUAGAGAUCUGGAGGAAUACCGAUGGCGAAGGCAGCCAUCUGGCCUAAUACUGACGCUGAGGUACGAAAGCAUGGGGAGCAAACAGG
Molecule: ribosomal RNA, 430 nt
Filed under: Pseudomonadota bacterium
Lineage: Bacteria; Pseudomonadati; Pseudomonadota
Description: Proteobacteria bacterium partial 16S ribosomal RNA
Rfam family: Bacterial small subunit ribosomal RNA
Source: RNAcentral